This 468-nucleotide ribosomal RNA is filed under the name uncultured bacterium. RNAcentral describes it as "partial 16S ribosomal RNA". It matches the Rfam family "Bacterial small subunit ribosomal RNA", at positions 28 to 507 of the family's 1533-position model. The record is from RNAcentral.
GACGAACGCUGGCGGCGUGCUUAACACAUGCAAGUCGAACGGAAAGGCCCUGCUUUUGUGGGGUGCUCGAGUGGCGAACGGGUGAGUAACACGUGAGUAACCUGCCCUUGACUUUGGGAUAACUUCAGGAAACUGGGGCUAAUACCGGAUAGGAGCUCCUGCUGCAUGGUGGGGGUUGGAAAGUUUCGGCGGUUGGGGAUGGACUCGCGGCUUAUCAGCUUGUUGGUGGGGUAGUGGCUUACCAAGGCUUUGACGGGUAGCCGGCCUGAGAGGGUGACCGGCCACAUUGGGACUGAGAUACGGCCCAGACUCCUACGGGAGGCAGCAGUGGGGAAUAUUGCACAAUGGGCGGAAGCCUGAUGCAGAAACGCCGCGUGCGGGAUGAAGGCCUUCGGGUUGUAAACCGCUUUCGCCUGUGACGAAGCGUGAGUGACGGUAAUGGGUAAAGAAGCACCGGCUAACUACGUG